AUGACUCUAUAUGAAUGCCUCCGGUGGUGUACCGGGAUAUGCAAUGAACGAAGAGUGACAUGUAUGGAAGAAUUAUCAAGGUGGCUUUGCCACAAAUACGAUGUCAACUACAUGAUCAUGCAAAAGCAAUAUGACAAUGAUGAUGCGUGUCAUAAUAAACGGAAUGGUGAAAAGUUGCAUGGCAAUAUAUCUCGGAAUGGCUAUGGAAAUGCCAUAAUAGGUAGGUAUGGUGGCUGUUUUGAGGAAGGUAUAUGGUGGGUGUAUGGUACCGGUGAAAGUUGCGCGGCACAAGAGAGGCUAGCAAUGGUGGAAGGGUGA
RNAcentral lists this ribosomal RNA (318 nucleotides) under Triticum aestivum (bread wheat). RNAcentral's name for it is "partial small subunit ribosomal RNA". Lineage: Eukaryota; Viridiplantae; Streptophyta; Magnoliopsida; Poales; Poaceae. The record is from RNAcentral.